This 21-nucleotide transfer RNA is filed under the name Crocidura grayi (Luzon shrew). Its description in RNAcentral is "partial tRNA-Thr". The record is from RNAcentral. Lineage: Eukaryota; Metazoa; Chordata; Mammalia; Eulipotyphla; Soricidae.
AUAGAGCCUUAGUAGUAUAGU